ACCUAGCGGCGGACGGGUGAGUAAUGCUUAGGAAUCUGCCUAUUAGUGGGGGACAACGUUCCGAAAGGAACGCUAAUACCGCAUACGCCCUACGGGGGAAAGCAGGGGAUCUUCGGACCUUGCGCUAAUAGAUGAGCCUAAGUCGGAUUAGCUAGUUGGUGGGGUAAAGGCCUACCAAGGCGACGAUCUGUAGCGGGUCUGAGAGGAUGAUCCGCCACACUGGGACUGAGACACGGCCCAGACUCCUACGGGAGGCAGCAGUGGGGAAUAUUGGACAAUGGGCGCAAGCCUGAUCCAGCCAUGCCGCGUGUGUGAAGAAGGCCUUUUGGUUGUAAAGCACUUUAAGCGAGGAGGAGGCUCCUUUAGUUAAUACCUAAAGUGAGUGGACGUUACUCGCAGAAUAAGCACCGGCUAACUCUGUGCCAGCAGCCGCGGUAAUACAGAGGGUGCGAGCGUUAAUCGGAUUUACUGGGCGUAAAGCGUGCGUAGGCGGCUUUUUAAGUCGGAUGUGAAAUCCCUGAGCUUAACUUAGGAAUUGCAUUCGAUACUGGAAAGCUAGAGUAUGGGAGAGGAUGGUAGAAUUCCAGGUGUAGCGGUGAAAUGCGUAGAGAUCUGGAGGAAUACCGAUGGCGAAGGCAGCCAUCUGGCCUAAUACUGACGCUGAGGUACGAAAGCAUGGGGAGCAAACAGGAUUAGAUACCCUGGUAGUCCAUGCCGUAAACGAUGUCUACUAGCCGUUGGGGCCUUUGAGGCUUUAGUGGCGCAGCUAACGCGAUAAGUAGACCGCCUGGGGAGUACGGUCGCAAGACUAAAACUCAAAUGAAUUGACGGGGGCCCGCACAAGCGGUGGAGCAUGUGGUUUAAUUCGAUGCAACGCGAAGAACCUUACCUGGCCUUGACAUACUAAGAACUUUCCAGAAAUGGAUUGGUGCCUUCGGGAACUUAGAUACAGGUGCUGCAUGGCUGUCGUCAGCUCGUGUCCUGAAAAUGUUUGGGUUAAGUCCCCGCAACGAAGCGCAACCCUUUUUCCUUAUUUGCCAGCGGGUU
Molecule: ribosomal RNA, 1047 nt
Filed under: Acinetobacter schindleri
Lineage: Bacteria; Pseudomonadati; Pseudomonadota; Gammaproteobacteria; Moraxellales; Moraxellaceae
Description: bacterial SSU rRNA
Rfam family: Bacterial small subunit ribosomal RNA
Source: RNAcentral